This is a non-coding RNA of Camellia sinensis, 557 nucleotides long. Lineage: Eukaryota; Viridiplantae; Streptophyta; Magnoliopsida; Ericales; Theaceae. The record is from RefSeq and is a predicted model, not a curated record.
AUUGGAAAUAAGAGGUCUCAAAACCGUACAUAAGUUCCCAAACCCAAACUAAGGUUACCAGCCGAAAUGUACUCGAUGGUAUAAAAAAUUGAGUCACUUGCUCGGCAGAUGACUUCGUUGCGUGGACUUGCAGAGAUAUUUUGGUGUAUGGAGAAAAAAUUGUACUUUUGUAUAGAAGUAAUAUAAUACUUUUGUCGUCUCCGGCUUUUGUGCAAUUAACUAUUCCUAAUAUAGAAAACUUUUGGUAGCGAACAGAUAAUUAUUGGCAUGAUAGAUGGAUCACCUUUUGAUGCCGUACAGAUAUAUGAUUUUUUGUCGUGAUGCAUAGAUGUAUUUUUAGCUUGGUACAUACAUCACUUUUUGUCGUGGUACAGAUUACGAUGGUAAUUUGUACCAUGCCAAAUGGUCAUUUCACAUGGUAUAGUAAAUGUAAUUUUUGUAUAUGAAGGGUUUUACUUUUUGUAUGAUUGUAUAUGUUGUAUGAAAUUAUUAUUUUAGUUUGGACAAUAGUUCGUUUGUAUGUACUUGGACAGUUAAAGUAAUUUAUUUUUUGUAUA